GCCAAGUGCCGUGAUAUACUUGGAAAAAGGAAGAGCAGAAUUUUAUACACCAACAGAAUGAGAAUGUUGAGAAAGAAAAAAAGAAUAAACCACUGACCACAAGACAAUACAUACAUACAUACAUACAUACAUACAUACAUACAUACAUACAUACAUACACACGUAUAUAUAUAUUUGCUAUUCACUAAGAUGGAGAAUUUAACAUAUUGGAUGAAAUGAAAAUUUUCAACAAGCAUAUCCAAAAGGAUGUGUCCUUGCCUUUUGUCUUUUUAAGAGUCA
RNAcentral lists this long non-coding RNA (279 nucleotides) under Gossypium barbadense (sea-island cotton). RNAcentral describes it as "long non-coding RNA (GBAR_LNC013837)". Lineage: Eukaryota; Viridiplantae; Streptophyta; Magnoliopsida; Malvales; Malvaceae. The record is from RNAcentral.